This 594-nucleotide ribosomal RNA is filed under the name uncultured bacterium. Its description in RNAcentral is "bacterial SSU rRNA". It matches the Rfam family "Bacterial small subunit ribosomal RNA", at positions 112 to 704 of the family's 1533-position model. The record is from RNAcentral.
AACGCGUGAGCAACCUACCUCUAUCAGGGGGAUAGCCUCUCGAAAGAGAGAUUAACACCGCAUAACAUCAACAGUUCGCAUGUUCGGUUGAUUAAAUAUUUAUAGGAUAGAGAUGGGCUCGCGUGACAUUAGCUAGUUGGUAGGGUAACGGCUUACCAAGGCGACGAUGUCUAGGGGCUCUGAGAGGAGAAUCCCCCACACUGGUACUGAGACACGGACCAGACUCCUACGGGAGGCAGCAGUAAGGAAUAUUGGACAAUGGGCGCAAGCCUGAUCCAGCCAUGCCGCGUGCAGGAAGACGGUCCUAUGGAUUGUAAACUGCUUUUAUACGGGAAGAAACACCCCUACGUGUAGGGACUUGACGGUACCGUAAGAAUAAGGAUCGGCUAACUCCGUGCCAGCAGCCGCGGUAAUACGGAGGAUCCAAGCGUUAUCCGGAAUCAUUGGGUUUAAAGGGUCCGUAGGCGGUUUGGUAAGUCAGUGGUGAAAGCCCAUCGCUCAACGAUGGAACGGCCAUUGAUACUGCCAGACUUGAAUUACUGGGAAGUAACUAGAAUAUGUAGUGUAGCGGUGAAAUGCUUAGAUAUUACAUGG